ACCCCCUGGCAAUAGGCAAAGAGACAGCUUGUUGGUGGUAGUAUUCUUAUACCAAUCAGGGGAAGAGCAGUAGCCCUUUGUUCAUCCCUGCUUAAUGCCUGGCUUGGUGGCCAAAGCUGUCUUAAGCCUAGGACUUGUAA
Psammomys obesus (fat sand rat) is the source of this 140-nucleotide small nucleolar RNA. RefSeq annotates it as small nucleolar RNA SNORA48. The transcript has a single exon. Lineage: Eukaryota; Metazoa; Chordata; Mammalia; Rodentia; Muridae. The record is from RefSeq and is a predicted model, not a curated record.